CGACACGGACACGAUGCAGCUCAGUGUCGGCCAUAGUUGUAAUGAACGACCGUACGCCACACGCUCCGUUCAUAGGCAAAACGAGGCAUUAGCAAUCGCUCACAGAUCGUCCCUGAAUGAGGCAUUAGCAAUCAAUCUGAUUGCACUGAUACCUAAACUUAAACCACCGAACAAUGAAUCACUGAUCUACAGACCAUUAGUGCCUUUUAACUUUUACCUUUUUAUGAACAUUUUAAGUAUAUUUUACCUUAUAUUAACCCAUUCAAUGCAACAAUAAUACAUCAUUCUUAUCAUCCUUACACACACACCACUUGACAACUGUAAUCUGGCCACGACGGAUAAAUGCUGCCAUCUGGAGAAUGUCACGAGAAGGAGGAACAAAGGCAUUUUUUAAUCACAUUUUUCAAAGUGCUGUUUAUAUGUCAAUUCGUAUGAAAUGUAUAAAAGCUAGUCGCAUGGGAUGAUUGAACUGAUUUUCCUGCUUAUCUUUCAAUCCAAAUGAUGUUGAUUGGAAGAGUGUUACACAUAUUGCACUAAGAAUAGUUUAAAUAUACGGCAUUCAAGUAUUCAUCAAUAAAAACAAUUGAUGUCAAUAUGCAUUAAACAAAAAACAACUUCCUCAUGCUGCUGUAUGAGUGCCCCAACACACACUGUCUCCAACUCUUACAUGGAGAGAACACAAUCGUCUGUCUUCAUUUCUAGAACGUUUCCCCACUCGAGUGAGUAGAACUUGAGCAUUAUCUCAAUAACGACGUCCACAUGGUUUCUUGUGGAGCACAACGUCAACAGACUCUAUUACUGGUGAUGUAACUGAUCCGGAGUCAGAUUCACUACUUUACGCAGCUGUUAUUGUCUUUGAUUGUUACACAGGGGCUGAGGCUACCUGUGCCCAAGUCUUUGUGCGUAUUAUUUGAUUAUUUUGUUUGCAAAGUAUUUUGAUACUUACAAACAGGGACUGUUUUCCAGUUAGCAGGGACCAGGACUACACUACUAAUCACCAAAGUUUUAUAAUCUGCAUUAUGCGAAUUAUAAAAUCCAAGCAAAACGAUAGUUUCUGAAUUACUGUCUGCCGCUCACACAAAAAAGAACUGCACAGUUUGCAUUGAUUUCUAUGUGAAAGAUUCUGUUUUCUUGAAGUCAGAAGGGAAGAUGGUGUUGAUGUAGCUCAACGUACACUGAAGGAAUAUUCAAUUGAAAUACUCACCAUGAAACUCUUUAACGUUGCCGACCUUUUAUUGAACUGUUUUGGCAUGAUUGCAUGCCCGGCCUUUAUGUAGUGUGCACAGUAGCCUUUCUAGCGAUACUAAUGAAAGCAUAUAUACCUUUAAAAAAUACGGAAGGAAUGUAUAUUUAAUAAAUACCCUUGUCAAUGCACACUACUGAAUUAUAUAAGCGCUAUGUUUUUACUAUUAAUAAAAAAAAUAACAAUUUA
This is a long non-coding RNA of Gasterosteus aculeatus aculeatus (three-spined stickleback), 1432 nucleotides long. The record is from Ensembl. Lineage: Eukaryota; Metazoa; Chordata; Actinopteri; Perciformes; Gasterosteidae.